ACAAUGAAUCCAGGGUUCCCAGCCCAAAUCCUCAAAUUCUAACACUAACAUCUGAUCAUUUGAGUUAUGGGAUUCAACCAGCUUUGGCAACUCCUUCUGGAACCAGACUUGGAAGUAAGUCUCUUUCUUAGGUUUUUGUUUGUUUGUUUGUUUUGGAUUUGGUGGCUUCUGCAUUUAUGCUUCGUGAGAGCCUUUGUAUUAAAUUUGGCGACACAGCUGUGGAUAAGGUCUGGGCUGUGCCCGUUGUGGGGGAAGGGGAAGCUGGCAUCUGCUGAACCCUGACUGUGAACGCGCUCACUGAAUAGGAUUCUGGGGAGCCCCUUCUCUCUUUCCACCUUUAUGUGGGUUCCAGGGAUCAAACUCAGGUCAGCAGGCUUGCCCAGCAGGCACCCUUCCCCAUGGAGUCAUCUCAUUGGUCCCAAACAAGACUCUUGUUCAUUCUUCACUUAACAACAACAGCCCUGUUCCAUGAUCUAUGCUGUUUCUUCAGAGAGAUGAGGAAAAGGAAGAUCAGAGAGACGAGUAUCCAGUCCAAGUAAAUGCAAAACAAGGAUAGAAAACAAUCUGUCUGAUGUCUCUCUGCCGUACAUAGUUUAAGGAGUGAGCCACGGAAGCACAUGAUAAAACCAAGACACAACCGCUUCAGAAAAUCAAAACAAAGGGAUGGAUUUAGGCCUCCGUGGUGCUCGGCAGGGGCAGAGUUAGAGGUUAUAGUUGGGUCUUUCCUCUCCAGUGGGCAGCUGCUCACCUGUCUAGGUUAAGGGGGUAAAAAACCAACCCUAAAUGAUUUCCCUGUGUACUGCCUACAGAAGACCCUGGGGAGACCCAGAUAUUUGCUAGCUGGGAGCUGGUUAAGAUCAGGAGGCGAUUCCUAAAGAGCUAGUGGGAAGUUGAAAGCAGCAGGUAAAACAGGCUUCCUGGAUUGAAGUAGCAACUGGAGAAGAGCAGAGUUUUAUACAAGUGCCUGGAAAUACUAAGGGUGGACAGGCUACCUUAGUCUUUCAGUGUUGAAAUCUUACAAAAGGUCUAAUUGGCUGAUUUGGAGGCUGAAGGCAGCAGAUAUGUUUGGCCUACUGGGAAAGGCUCCUUCGGUAGGUAUGAGAGCACCAAGCAAAAAUGAGAGAUUGCUGGACCAGAUGAAAUGCCAGAGGCAACACAGAGUGGCCAGUCUUGCUCUCACACACCACACCACUCUAUAAGAACCCAUUUUGUGAGAGAUGUGUUAAUCUCUUCUGAGUGCAGAGCCUCCAGUAACCCAAAUAUCCCCCAUUAGACUUUACUUCUUAAUGGUUCCAGUGCUUGGAGACCAAGUUUCUAAUAUAUGACCCAACUAGGAAACCUUCAAACACUUUACAACCUGUAAUGGGUAUUUUAGGAAUUAUGGUAUCAGACAUCCUAUAUGUCCUUGCACCAUGGAAAAUUGAUGUGUUAGAGUAAUUCUUAGAAUAAACAUAAAUCUCACUGAAAGACGGGCCUAGAGAAACUUGGAAGCACUGUCACCAGACAAGGGGGCCGGAGAACUUGGUUAAGUUUGGGCAGGUUAUGAACCCAAGUUUUAAAUAUACCUGAGAAAGAGCCACAGAGUUGGCCAGACAGCACCGUGUAAUGUCAGUCCAUGAACCCUUCAUUCAAACAGAGAGUGGUUUCUCCCAUAUUAAUUAGUCCAUUUUGUGUCCCUUUAAAGAGAUGCCUGGGGCUUAUUAACUUAAUAGAUAAAGAAGCUUAUUGUGUUCAUGAUUCUGGUGGCUGCUGGGUCCACACAGCACCGUGCUGGUGUUCUGGCAUGUAGCACAACUCAACAGAGGAAAGGAAAUGAAAAGAAAAGUACUGUAGGCAGAUGGUAUCAACAACAUGGCAUACAUAACCUCAAUGAACAACAUUCUGGUGGCCCAAGAACUAGCCCACUCUUCAAGAACAAUGAAUCCUGCCUUAGGACACUGCUCCAGGACCUAACUGCCUUCCGAUAAGCUUGCCUCUUAAAGACCCCACUCUCUCUGUGAUGAUCAAUCUUCAUUGUCGGUUUGACAGAUUUUGGAAUCACCUCAAAGGCAAACAUGCUGGUAGGAGUGAGUGAGUCUCCAGAGAUGUUCAUCCAAGGGGGGGAAAACCCACCCCAACAGUGGACAGCAUCAUCCUGUAGGAGUAAAGGGGGGUGCGGUCUUAGUACUCCUCCUUCCCUGCUGUCUGAGUCUGUGACAGUGGACCCAAUGUGACAAGCUGCCUCACUCCCUGGCCACCAUGCCUCUCCUGCCAGGAUCGAUUUGUAUCCUCAAACCAUGAACCAAAAUAAACCCUUCCUUCUU
This 2303-nucleotide long non-coding RNA is filed under the name Mus musculus (house mouse). Its description in RNAcentral is "long non-coding RNA chr1:157043546-157045849". Lineage: Eukaryota; Metazoa; Chordata; Mammalia; Rodentia; Muridae. The record is from RNAcentral.